This is a long non-coding RNA of Anguilla anguilla (European eel), 251 nucleotides long. RefSeq lists it as uncharacterized. The transcript has 3 exons. The record is from RefSeq and is a predicted model, not a curated record. NCBI's taxonomy places the organism in Eukaryota, Metazoa, Chordata, Actinopteri, Anguilliformes, Anguillidae.
AGCUGGAGCCCCCGCUGGCCGAUCUGGGAACUGCAGCCUCACAGGUGGAUGUGAUGGAGGAGAGGGCGAUGGAAGAUGCUUGUGCUGUGGAUGCACAGAAGGGGCCAGAGGGGCUUGCGGAGGGAGACUGUCAGCCAGGGGACCGCCCACAGAAGCGGGGAAGGAAGAGUGCAGUGUGGAGGUUCUUCGGCAGGGUUUGGACUGCCCUGAAGCGCUCCCUCUGCUGCUGCAGUGUCUCUGAGGGGCGGGAA